Molecule: ribosomal RNA, 534 nt
Filed under: Salmonella enterica subsp. enterica serovar Litchfield
Lineage: Bacteria; Pseudomonadati; Pseudomonadota; Gammaproteobacteria; Enterobacterales; Enterobacteriaceae
Description: partial 23S ribosomal RNA
Rfam family: Bacterial large subunit ribosomal RNA
Source: RNAcentral
CGAAAGGCGUAGUCGAUGGGAAAUCGGUUAAUAUUCCGAUACUUGUUUAUGAUGCGAUGGAGGGACGGAGAAGGUUAUGCCAGCUUGGCGAUGGUUGUCCAAGUGGAAGGAUGUAGUUAGGUUUAGUAGGCAAAUCCGCUAGACUAUUAAUGAGAUCUGAUAGCAAGCUGUACUUGUACAGCGAAGUGGCAAAUACCCUGCUUCCAGGAAAAGCUUCUAAGCGAUAGUCAUAAAGAAAUCGUACCCGAAACCGACACAGGUGGUCAGGUAGAGAAUACCAAGGCGCUUGAGAGAACUCUGCUGAAGGAACUAGGCAAAAUGGUACCGUAACUUCGGGAGAAGGUACGCUGCCGAUGGUGAGUAGACAUGCUCUACAAAGCUAUUGGCAGUCGCAGAUACCAGGCCGCUGCAACUGUUUAUUAAAAACACAGCACUCUGCAAACACGAAAGUGGACGUAUAGGGUGUGAUGCCUGCCCGGUGCUGGAAGGUUAAUUGAUGGGGUUAGCGUAAGCGAAGCUCUUGAUCGAAGCCCC